GUACAAUAAGCUAAACAAGGGCGUAUGGGGAAUGCCUAGGCUCUCAGAGGCGAUGAAGGACGUGAUAAGCUGCGAAAAGCUGCGGGGAUCGGCACAUACGAUUCGAUCCGCAGAUAUCCGAAUGGGGCAACCCAGCAUGUUGAAGACAUGUUAUCCGCAAGGAGGCGAACCCGGGGAACUGAAACAUCUAAGUACCCGGAGGAAGAGAAAACAAAAGUGAUUCCGUUAGUAGUGGCGAGCGAACGCGGAUUAGCCCAAACCGGUGCUGUUACGGCAGUGCCGGGGUUGUAGGACUGCAAUGUUCGAGUUGUGCUGAACUGGAACGCUCUGGAAAGAGCGACCAUAGAGGGUGAUAGUCCCGUACAGGCAAAAAUCAACGAGAUAGCAGUAUCCUGAGUAGCGCGGGGCACGUGAAACCCUGUGUGAAUCUGUGGGGACCAUCCCAUAAGGCUAAAUACUCCUGAGAGACCGAUAGUGAACCAGUACCGUGAGGGAAAGGUGAAAAGAACCCUGAAUAAGGGAGUGAAAUAGAACCUGAAACCAUACGCCUACAAGCGGUCGGAGCCCAUUAGGGUGACGGCGUGCCUUUUGCAUAAUGAGCCUACGAGUUACCGUUGCUGGCAAGGUUAAGGCAUUAAGUGCCGGAUCCGUAGCGAAAGCGAGUCUGAACAGGGCGUGCAGUCAGUAGUGGUAGACGCGAAACCGUGUGAUCUACCCAUGGGCAGGGUGAAGCUGUGGUAACACACAGUGGAGGCCCGAACCGGUUGACGUUGAAAAGUCUUCGGAUGACCUGUGGGUAGGGGUGAAAGGCCAAUCAAACUCGGAAAUAGCUCGUACUCCCCGAAAUGCAUUUAGGUGCAGCGUACUGUUAGUUUUAUAGAGGUAGAGCUACUGAUUGGAUGCGGGGGCUUCACCGCCUACCAAUUCCUGACAAACUCCGAAUGCUAUAAAAUGUUGCAGUGCAGUGAGGGCAUGGGUGCUAAGGUCCAUGUCCGAGAGGGAAAGAACCCAGACCAUCAGCUAAGGUCCCCAAAUGUAUGCUAAGUUGAAAAAACGCGGUUGGACUGCUUUGACAGCUAGGAUGUUGGCUUGGAAGCAGCCAUUCAUUUAAAGAGUGCGUAACAGCUCACUAGUCGAGCGGUCCGGCAUGGAUAAUAAUCGGGCAUAAGCAUACUACCGAAGCUAUGGACUUGUAAAAGUGGUAGGGGAGCAUUGUAGUGCCGUUGAAGGUGCGCUGUGAGGCGUGCUGGAGGAGCUACAAAAGAAAAUGUAGGCAUAAGUAACGAUAAUGCGGGCGAGAAACCCGCACUCCGAAAAACCAAGGUUUCCUCAGCUAUGCUAAUCAGCUGAGGGUUAGUCGGGACCUAAGGCGAACCCGAAAGGGGCAGUCGAUGGACAACGGGUUAAUAUUCCCGUACCCGCUCCCAUUAAAAGUGACGGAGGCGUAUAUUCGGUGCGUGCUGACGGAAUAGCACGUUGAAGCGAGCAGUAAUGCCGCGAUAGUACACUAAGGCUCCGGCCGCGGUGAUAAUCCGGAGAAGCGACUUCCAAGAAAAGCGAGGGAAGCGGCCCGUACCCCAAACCGACACAGGUGGUUGGGAUGAGAAUUCUAAGGAGCUCGAGAGAUUCAUGGCUAAGGAACUAGGCAAAAUAGACGCGUAACUUCGGGAGAAGCGUCGCCCAUCUUCGGAUGGGCCGCAGUGAAAAGGUCCAGGCGACUGUUUAUCAAAAACACAGGGCUAUGCGAAAUCGAAAGAUGAUGUAUAUGGCCUGACACCUGCCCGGUGCCGGAAGGUUAAGUGGAGAUGUUAGCUUCGGCGAAGCAUUCAAAUGAAGCCCCGGUAAACGGCGGCCGUAACUAUAACGGUCCUAAGGUAGCGAAAUUCCUUGUCGGGUAAGUUCCGACCUGCACGAAUGGUGCAACGAUCUGGACACUGUCUCAGCCAUGAGCUCGGUGAAAUUGUAGUAUCGGUGAAGAUGCCGAUUACCCGCUGUGGGACGAAAAGACCCCGUGCACCUUUACUAUAGCUUAGUAUUGGUUUUGGACAAGUAAUGUGUAGGAUAGGUGGGAGACUUCGAAGCUGCGUCGCCAGGCGUGGUGGAGUCAUUGUUGAAAUACCACCCUUUGCUUGUCUAGAGUCUAACCCCGCACAACGGGGGACAGUGCUUGGUGGGUAGUUUGACUGGGGUGGUCGCCUCCAAAAGAGUAACGGAGGCUUCUAAAGGUUCCCUCAGCACGCUUGGUAACCGUGCGCAGAGUGCAAUGGCAUAAGGGAGCUUGACUGAGAGACCUACAAGUCGAUCAGGUACGAAAGUAGAGCAUAGUGAUCCGGUGGUUCCGCAUGGAAGGGCCAUCGCUCAAAGGAUAAAAGGUACGCCGGGGAUAACAGGCUGAUCUCCCCCAAGAGCUCACAUCGACGGGGGGGUUUGGCACCUCGAUGUCGGCUCGUCACAUCCUGGGGCUGGAGAAGGUCCCAAGGGUUGGGCUGUUCGCCCAUUAAAGUGGCACGCGAGCUGGGUUCAGAACGUCGUGAGACAGUUCGGUCUCUAUCUACAGCGGGCGCUAGAAAUUUGAGUGGAUCUGACCCUAGUACGAGAGGACCGGGUUGGACGGACCUCUGGUGUACCUGUUGUCGCGCCAGCGGCAUGGCAGGGUAGCUACGUCCGGAAGGGAUAAGCGCUGAAAGCAUAUAAGCGCGAAACCCACCACAAGAUGAGAUUUCUUUAAAGGGUCGUGGGAGAUGACCACGUCGAUAGGCCACAGGUGUAAAGGCGGUAACGUCACAGCCGAGUGGUACUAAUAACCCAUAGGCUUAUUGUACGCC
Molecule: ribosomal RNA, 2825 nt
Filed under: Tamlana crocina
Lineage: Bacteria; Pseudomonadati; Bacteroidota; Flavobacteriia; Flavobacteriales; Flavobacteriaceae
Description: 23S ribosomal RNA
Rfam family: Bacterial large subunit ribosomal RNA
Source: RNAcentral